CUGUUCGAGCGUCAUUAUAACCAAUCCAGCCUGGCUGGGUGUUGGGCCUCGCCGUCUGGCGGGCCUUAAAGCUAGUGGCGGUGCUCUCAGGCUCUACGCGUAGUAAUUUUCUCGCUAUAGAGCCCUGGGAGAUGCUUGCCAGCAACCCCUAAUUUUUUCAGGUUGACCUCGGAUCAGGUAGGGAUACCCGCUGAACUUAA
RNAcentral lists this unclassified non-coding RNA (200 nucleotides) under soil metagenome. RNAcentral's name for it is "partial contains internal transcribed spacer 2 and large subunit ribosomal RNA". The record is from RNAcentral.